AAGCAGUGGCAUCUACGCAGAAAAGAAAUUUGUGUUGAGGGGACUCCUUCCAGAGUUAACAGGAAAAUGAUACUCAAGACC
This is a long non-coding RNA of Xenia sp. Carnegie-2017, 81 nucleotides long. RefSeq lists it as uncharacterized. NCBI's taxonomy places the organism in Eukaryota, Metazoa, Cnidaria, Anthozoa, Malacalcyonacea, Xeniidae. The transcript is spliced from 3 exons. The record is from RefSeq and is a predicted model, not a curated record.